Molecule: ribosomal RNA, 460 nt
Filed under: uncultured bacterium
Lineage: Bacteria
Description: partial 16S ribosomal RNA
Rfam family: Bacterial small subunit ribosomal RNA
Source: RNAcentral
CCUACGGGUGGCAGCAGUGAGGAAUAUUGGUCAAUGGACGAGAGUCUGAACCAGCCAAGUAGCGUGAAGGUUGACUGCCCUAUGGGUUGUAAACUUCUUUUAUAUGGGAAUAAAAUGUUCCACGUGUGGGAUUUUGUAUGUACCAUAUGAAUAAGGAUCGGCUAACUCCGUGCCAGCAGCCGCGGUAAUACGGAGGAUCCGAGCGUUAUCCGGAUUUAUUGGGUUUAAAGGGAGCGUAGGUGGAUUGUUAAGUCAGUUGUGAAAGUUUGCGACUCAACCGUAAAAUUGCAGUUGAAACUGGCAGUCUUGAGUACAGUAGAGGUGGGCGGAAUUCGUGGUGUAGCGGUGAAAUGCUUAGAUAUCACGAAGAACUCCGAUUGCGAAGGCAGUUCACUGGACUGCAACUGACACUGAGGCUCGAAAGUGUGGGUAUCAAACAGGAUUAGAUACCCUUGUAGUC